GAUGAAGAACGUAGCGAAAUGCGAUAAGUAGUGUGAAUUGCAGAUUUCAGUGAAUCAUCGAAUCUUUGAACGCACAUUGCGCCCGCCAGUAUUCUGGCGGGCAUGCCUGUUCGAGCGUCAUUUCAACCCUCAAGCCCCCGGGUUUGGUGUUGGGGAUCGGGCUGUACUCCAGCCCGGCCCCGAAAUCUAGUGGCGGUCUCGCUGCAGCCUCCAUUGCGUAGUAGCUAACACCUCGCAACUGGAACGCGGCGCGGCCAAGCCGUUAAACCCCCAACUUCUGAAUGUUGACCUCGGAUCAGGUAGGAAUACCCGCUGAACUUAAGCAUAUCAAUAAGCGGAGAA
RNAcentral lists this unclassified non-coding RNA (342 nucleotides) under soil metagenome. RNAcentral's name for it is "partial contains 5.8S ribosomal RNA, internal transcribed spacer 2, and large subunit ribosomal RNA". The stretch from base 1 to 120 matches the Rfam family "5.8S ribosomal RNA", at positions 35 to 154 of the family's 154-position model. The record is from RNAcentral.